AACAUUUAAUAAGAGACAGCAUCGUCAAACCCUGCUUCCCCCAAGACUUUCUUUUGAUGAUUUAGAUUUUUUCAUCGAUAUUUGGACUGAAGAAAAAUUGAUCUUCUCGGAAGUUGUUCCAGGCCCUGUUUUGCUGACUGGAAUCAGAGUCCCACCACCUGGAAUUUGUGAUAUACUUAGAUUUCACCUUGACGGUCCUGAUUAUAAAAUG
Molecule: unclassified non-coding RNA, 211 nt
Filed under: Hevea brasiliensis (rubber tree)
Lineage: Eukaryota; Viridiplantae; Streptophyta; Magnoliopsida; Malpighiales; Euphorbiaceae
Source: RNAcentral